UGAUGUCCUUGUAUGUGUACAUGACUAA
RNAcentral lists this small RNA (28 nucleotides) under Bombyx mori (domestic silkworm). Its description in RNAcentral is "ovarian small RNA-32923". Lineage: Eukaryota; Metazoa; Arthropoda; Insecta; Lepidoptera; Bombycidae. The record is from RNAcentral.